Long non-coding RNA from Astatotilapia calliptera (eastern happy), 1162 nucleotides. Lineage: Eukaryota; Metazoa; Chordata; Actinopteri; Cichliformes; Cichlidae. The record is from Ensembl.
CUUUUCUUUAUCUGGUUUCACUUUCCCAGUCUAGGUGUCAGCAUGUUCACAUGAAGGAGGCGCUGUUGGCAGCAUGUCACUGAUCAGGAACAGUUUUAACCUCGUUCUUUCAUCUGCAAUCACAGCUCAUGGACUGUACCUAUGAGGAGAUACAGGAGCGCCUCCAGCUGCCAGACUCAGAAAAUGCAACAAACACAAUUUAUGCCACCGUCAGCUCUCCAAACCCUGUGCCCUCAACACAUUAUGCUACCAUUAACUUUCAAAACUCCGAUAAAGCUGCUGCUGAGACAGUCAGACUCGGCUACUCUGCCUGUGAAUAUUCUACUGUGAAGUUUCCCAAAUGUCGAACUGACUCGAGUGACACCCAACUGUACCCGCCGACCGAGGAGCCGCUCUACUCAACAGUCAACAAGCUAAGAAAAUGAGAUCAUUUAUUUAAAGAAUAUAACAGAUUUAUGAAUAAAAAUAAUGUAUUUAGUGUUUGAGUCACAGUGAUUUUGUGAUGGUGUUUUGGUGCUGAUCUGUUCUGAGAUCUUAGAUUUUAUUUCCCCGUGAAGAUAAUUGGCGCGAUAUGGCAGCCUCGCUUCUGUCAGUCUGCCCCAGGGCAGCUGUGGCUACAACUGUAGCUUGCCUCCACUAGUGUAUGAAUGUGAGAGUGAAUGAAUAGUGGUAUUGCAAAGCGCUUUGGGUGCCUUGAAAAGCGCUAUAUAAAUCCAAUCCAUUAUUAUUAUUAUUAAAGCCUAUCAGGAAGAUACGGACCUGCCUCUUUCACAGGAGGAGAAGCCAACAAAGAGGUCAAGUGCUUUUGUACCACACUGUGGUACGAUACACAACAUCCACACUUAGAGCCACUGACUUUAACCACAAUGAAUGUGAAAGUAUCCUAAGCAUCUGGAUUGAAUAAUAAUAUAUCAAAAGAAUUAGCUGUUAUUUAUAACUUAACUCUCUACAGCACAGCAUUGCUGCUGGGCAACAACAUGCCCAGUACAGGUGAAAUGAACUGAGCCAACCAAUCAGAGUGUUGGAAAAAGUAUCAAAUUUCAGUCCUAUAAGAUGUUCGAGUCACUGUCGAGCAGUAUUAGUACGGUGGGGCAUCCUGUUCUGACACAUGGUCACAGGACCAGAUGAUGUGUGAAGCUGCCAUUGUAAGUGUAAUUAAAAU